UACGUAGGGACCAAGCGUUGUUCGGAUUUACUGGGCGUAAAGGGCGCGUAGGCGGCGCGGUAAGUCACUUGUGAAAUCUCUGAGCUUAACUCAGAACGGCCAAGUGAUACUGCAGUGCUAGAGUGUGGAAGGGGCAAUCGGAAUUCUUGGUGUAGCGGUGAAAUGCGUAGAUAUCAGGAGGAACACCUAUGGCGAAGGCAGCUCGCUGGGACGGUACUGACGCUGAGGCGCGAAAGCGUGGGGAGCGAACAGG
RNAcentral lists this ribosomal RNA (253 nucleotides) under uncultured bacterium. Its description in RNAcentral is "partial 16S ribosomal RNA". It matches the Rfam family "Bacterial small subunit ribosomal RNA", at positions 524 to 776 of the family's 1533-position model. The record is from RNAcentral.